RNAcentral lists this ribosomal RNA (373 nucleotides) under uncultured organism. RNAcentral describes it as "partial 16S ribosomal RNA". It matches the Rfam family "Bacterial small subunit ribosomal RNA", at positions 527 to 896 of the family's 1533-position model. The record is from RNAcentral.
GGAGGGCGCAAGCGUUGUUCGGAAUCAUUGGGCGUAAAGCGCGUGUAGGCGGUUUGGCAAGUCGGGCGUGAAAGCCCGGGGCUCAACCCCGGAACUGCGCUCGAUACUGUCUCGCUAGAGUCCCGGAGAGGAAGGCGGAAUUCCCGGUGUAGAGGUGAAAUUCGUAGAUAUCGGGAGGAACACCAGCGGCGAAGGCGGCCUUCUGGACGGUGACUGACGCUGAGACGCGAAAGCGUGGGGAGCAAACAGGAUUAGAUACCCUGGUAGUCCACGCUGUAAACGUUGGGUGCUAGGUGUCGCGGGUAUUGACCCCCCUGCGGUGCCGUCGCUAACGCAUUAAGCACCCCGCCUGGGGAGUACGGUCGCAAGGCUA